GAUGAACGCUGGCGGCGUGCUUAACACAUGCAAGUCGAACGAGGAAGCCCAGCUUGCUGGGUGGAUUAGUGGCGAACGGGUGAGUAACACGUGAGUAACCUGCCCUUAACUCUGGGAUAAGCCUGGGAAACUAGGUCUAAUACCGGAUAGGAGCGCCUACCGCAUGGUGGGUGUUGGAAAGAUUUAUCGGUUUUGGAUGGACUCGCGGCCUAUCAGCUUGUUGGUGAGGUAAUGGCUCACCAAGGCGACGACGGGUAGCCGGCCUGAGAGGGUGACCGGCCACACUGGGACUGAGACACGGCCCAGACUCCUACGGGAGGCAGCAGUGGGGAAUAUUGCACAAUGGGCGCAAGCCUGAUGCAGCGACGCCGCGUGAGGGAUGACGGCCUUCGGGUUGUAAACCUCUUUCAGUAGGGAAGAAGCGAAAGUGACGGUACCUGCAGAAGAAGCACCGGCUAACUACGUG
RNAcentral lists this ribosomal RNA (466 nucleotides) under uncultured bacterium. Its description in RNAcentral is "partial 16S ribosomal RNA". It matches the Rfam family "Bacterial small subunit ribosomal RNA", at positions 28 to 507 of the family's 1533-position model. The record is from RNAcentral.